Molecule: long non-coding RNA, 201 nt
Filed under: Lathyrus oleraceus (garden pea)
Lineage: Eukaryota; Viridiplantae; Streptophyta; Magnoliopsida; Fabales; Fabaceae
Description: Pisum sativum (pea) long non-coding RNA (PSAT_LNC037849)
Source: RNAcentral
UUUUGACUUAGGCAAGUGCUUUUAUCUCAUCUCCAUUUUUCAUUUCUUUUCUCUUUUUACUUUUGGUAGAAGUAUAUGUUUCUACAAACCUUUUUUUUUCUUUUGUUGCACUUGCCCUUUUUAUAUUUCUAAAGAUCACCAUCCCAAACUUAUCUUUUUGCACGAAUUUGGAACUACAACAGUCAUACCGAGCGGGGGUAG